This 660-nucleotide ribosomal RNA is filed under the name Blackwellomyces cardinalis. RNAcentral's name for it is "mitochondrial SSU rRNA". It matches the Rfam family "Bacterial small subunit ribosomal RNA", at positions 370 to 1113 of the family's 1533-position model. Lineage: Eukaryota; Fungi; Ascomycota; Sordariomycetes; Hypocreales; Cordycipitaceae. The record is from RNAcentral.
AAUGGCCUAACGGCUGAACUGGCAACUUGGAGAAGUGAUAAGUCUUAUAUUGUUAUUAUUAAUAAUAACUAUAAGAUUAAAUUAGUAUUGAAUAAAACUUUGUCUAUAUAUUGAUAAUGACGAUAUAUAUAUUAUGUCUUGACUAAUUACGUGCCAGCAGUCGCGGUUAAUACGUAAAGACUAGUGUUAUUCAUCUUAAUUAGGUUUAAAGGGUACCCAAACGGUCAAUAAAACUGACUAGAGUUAUAUGGAAGAAGGCAGUACCUUAAGUGUAGAGAUUAAAUGCUGUCAUACUAGAGGGACUCUGAAAAGGCGUAGGCAGCCUUCUAAGUAACAACUGACGUUGAAGGACGAAAGCAUAGAUCACGAACAGGAUUAGAUACCCAAGUAGUCUUUGCAGUCAAUGAUGAAUGCCAUAGGUUAGAAAAAAUUUUAGUCUAUAAAUGAAAGUGUAAGCAUUUCACCUCAAGAGUAAAGUGGCAACGCAGGAACUGAAAUCACUAGACCGUUUCUGACACCAGUAGUGAAGUAUGUUGUUUAAUUCGAUAAUCCACGAAAAACCUUACCACAAUUUGUAUAUUUAUACAGGAGUUGCACGGCUGUCUGCAGUUGAUGUUGUGAAACUAUGGUUUCCAUGAAUUAACACAAUCCCUUGCUUUA